Molecule: transfer RNA, 74 nt
Filed under: Thermoplasma volcanium GSS1
Lineage: Archaea; Methanobacteriati; Thermoplasmatota; Thermoplasmata; Thermoplasmatales; Thermoplasmataceae
Also listed under: 2 other names
Description: tRNA-Thr (GGT) (tRNA-Thr-GGT-1-1)
Rfam family: tRNA
About the family: Transfer RNA (tRNA) molecules are approximately 80 nucleotides in length. Their secondary structure includes four short double-helical elements and three loops (D, anti-codon, and T loops). Further hydrogen bonds mediate the characteristic L-shaped molecular structure. tRNAs have two regions of fundamental functional importance: the anti-codon, which is responsible for specific mRNA codon recognition, and the 3' end, to which the tRNAs corresponding amino acid is attached (by aminoacyl-tRNA synthetases). tRNAs cope with the degeneracy of the genetic code in two manners: having more than one tRNA (with a specific anti-codon) for a particular amino acid; and 'wobble' base-pairing, i.e. permitting non-standard base-pairing at the 3rd anti-codon position.
Source: RNAcentral
GCCGUCGUAGCUCAGCCUGGUAGAGCGCGUGCUUGGUAAGCACGAGGUCGCGGGUCCGAACCCCGUCGGCGGCU